Pseudophryne corroboree (corroboree frog) is the source of this 1524-nucleotide long non-coding RNA. RefSeq lists it as uncharacterized. NCBI's taxonomy places the organism in Eukaryota, Metazoa, Chordata, Amphibia, Anura, Myobatrachidae. The transcript has 5 exons. The record is from RefSeq and is a predicted model, not a curated record.
GCUCUGACCAAUGAGCAUUCAGCAGCGCUGUCCUCUACUGCGUCUGUCACAGCUCCACGUGAUAGAGGAAGGGGAAGAAACAACAGAGCGUGUGCAUUUCCUCUCCCACCCUCCGCAGCCCCCAUCCAGUCUGCUCCGCACACUCGCACAGGCACAUUAGACUGAGUAAACAUCCGAGCAGGGAGAAGCUGUAGAUGCCGGCCUGAUCAGUGGUAUAGGAGAUAAGGGUCACACCCAGGAAGUCGACACGGUCCCUAUUGUAAGUGAAGGUAAAAUUAAGAUUGUGCACGUUGGAUUGAAGGUAACCACUUCGAUGCUUGACUUCCGUCUCCCUGCGGGCGCCCCUUGAUGACGUCGCCCGCUGUAUACGGCAGCAGCUGGUGAGCUGGACGGCUUGAGACAGCGGCAGUCAGCGUGGCGUUCGGGUCGGAGGGCAGGAUCGCAGCUGAGGUGAGUCAAGGAUCUAAAGAUUAGAUAUAUGGAUAAUGAAAGCUAAUGGCACCAGUCAAGGUUACAGCACUGUACAUACAGUAUAGGACAGGAGUGCCAUGACUCGUCAACCAGGACAAAGCACGCAAUUCGGGUGAAACGCGUGGGCCAUAUAGCAUUAGCCUGUCACAUGUCUGUUGAAACCUGCCCAUAUCGGAAGUAAGAGGUCUGCAGUUUAGAAGGCAUCACCUAUCAGCAAGGUACAAGAACGGGAAAGAAUAUCUACGAGAGACUCCACUCCGAGGACCAGAUCUCCGAAUGGUGGGAAGUACCGCAGGACAGGACAGCACUAACAGAAAUGGGGAACCUGGCUGAAGACGUCAUUGCAUUUAGAGACUGACACAAAACAUAAUGUAAAGACUGCAUAUUGUACAUCAGAGACACAUCCGUUCCCUCUAUCGGAGACGCCGAUCUCUGCUGAGACUAGGAGGUGGCUUGAUGCGCUUCUUAUGUGUUCUUCACACAUAUAACAAAAUUGUCAACUUUUAUUAGAGAAUGUCACUGUUACAUGUUUUAUUUUUAUGUUAAAAUUAUAUUUUAUUAAUGUGAACAUGUUAUAUAUCCUAUAUAAUAAAAAUCUAACGCUGCUCCUCACCUCUAUUGGGGGGUCGUGUUCUGCAUACCGGAAGCUACUAGAUGACACCCAUUUGGGUGCUCACAGCCGCCACAACACAGCUGACAUUACUUUUAUGUUGUUCUGUCAUUUUGAUGGGCUGUUAACUAGCUUUAUAUAUAAACUCAAACCAAUAUAAUUAUAUAUAUAUAUAUAUUUAUUUUUUAUAUAUAUAUAUAUAUAUAUAUAUAUAUAUAGUGAGAGAGAAAUAGAUAUAAUGAUAUAGACCCCUUGAAGAAGUCAGCCAGACGAAACGUGUUGGGUGUACCUCACUGACUCCAUAUACUAAGAUAAGCUCUAAGCCUCUCAUUUUUUUAGAUUGUAUUUUUAGCCUUGUAAAAGUCCUAUACAUAUAUUUUUUAUAAUUAAUUUUUUUGUAUGUCUCAGUCUGCUAGUCCAUUUUUUAUAUGUUUUUCAUAUGU